GGAAUAGCUCACCGAAAGGUGAAUUAAUACCCCAUAAUAUUCGAGAGCGGCAUCGCUCUCCAAUUAAAGCUCAGGCGGUUGAAGAUGAGCAUGCGGAACAUUAGCUUGUUGGCGGGGUAACGGCCCACCAAGGCAACGAUGUUUAGGGGAUCUGAGAGGAUUAACCCCCACACUGGUACUGAGACACGGAUCAGACUCCUACGGGAGGCAGCAGUAAGGAAUAUUGGACAAUGGAGGCAACUCUGAUCCAGCCAUGCCGCGUGCAGGAUGACGGCCCUAUGGGUUGUAAACUGCUUUUAUACGGGAAAAAACCCCACUACGUGUAGAGGGCUGAUGGUACCGUAAGAAUAAGGAUCGGCUAACUCCGUGCCAGCAGCCGCGGUAAUACGGAGGAUCCGAGCGUUAUCCGGAUUUAUUGGGUUUAAAGGGUGCGUAGGCGGGUUUGUAAGUCAGUGGUGAAAUCCUGCAGCUUAACUGUAGAACUGCCAUUGAUACUGCAAGCCUUGAGUACAUAUGAUGUGGGGCGGAAUGUGUAGUGUAGCGGUGAAAUGCUUAGAUAUUACACAGAACACCAAUUGCGAAGGCAGCUCACAAAACUGUAACUGACGCUGAGGCACGAAAGCGUGGGGAGUGAACAGGAUUAGAUACCCUGGUAAUCCACGCCUUAAACGAUGAUUACUCGAUGUGUGCGAUACACAGCACGCGUCCUAGCGAAAGCGUUAAGUAAUCCACCUGGGGAGUACGAUCGCAAGGUUGAAACUCAAAGGAAUUGACGGGGGCCCGCACAAGCGGAGGAGCAUGUGGUUUAAUUCGAUGAUACGCGAGGAACCUUACCUGGGCUUGAAAGUUAGUGACCGUCUGUGAAAGCAGACUUUCCGCAAGGACACGAAACUAGGUGCUGCAUGGCUGUCGUCAGCUCGUGCCGUGAGGUGUUGGGUUAAGUCCCGCAACGAGCGCAACCCCUAUCUUUAGUUGCCAGCGAGUAAUGUCGGGGACUCUAAAGAAACUGCCCGUGCAAACGGUGAGGAAGGUGGGGAUGACGUCAAGUCAGCACGGCCCUUACGUCCAGGGCUACACACGUGCUACAAUGGCGAAGACAAUGGGCAGCUACAUAGUGAUAUGA
Molecule: ribosomal RNA, 1123 nt
Filed under: uncultured bacterium
Lineage: Bacteria
Description: bacterial SSU rRNA
Rfam family: Bacterial small subunit ribosomal RNA
Source: RNAcentral